AUGGUGACCUUCCAAAAUAUACAUCCAGCCUUUGCGUUCUCUCUCCCUCUCCCAACAUGGCGGCCUCAGCAAAAAAAGAAGAAGAAGAAGGGGAAGACUAUCUCCCUGACAGACUUUCUGGCUGAGGAUGGGGGAAGUGGUGGAGGAAGCACCUAUGUACCCAAACCAGUCAGCUGGGCUGAUGAAACAGAUGACCUGAAAGGAGAUGUUUCAACCACUUGGCACAGUAAUGAUGAUGAUGGGUAUAGGGCACCGCCAAUUGACCGUUCCAUCCUUCCCACUGCUCCACGGGCUGCUCGGGAACCCAAUAUCGACCGGAGCCCUCUUCCCAAAUCGCCACCCUACACUGCUUUUCUAGGGAACCUGCCCUAGGAUGUGACAGAAGACUCGAUUAAGGAAUUCUUUAGAGGAUUAAAUAUCAGUGCAGUGCAUUUACCCCAUGAACCCAGCAAUCCAGAGAGGUUGAAAGGUUUUGGUUAUGCUGAGUUUGAGGACCUGGAUUCCCUUCUCAUGCUCUGAGUCUCAAUGAAGAGUCCCUAGGGAACAGGAGAAUUCGAGUGGAUGUUGCCCAUCAAGCACAGGAUAAAGACCGGGAUGAUUGCUCUUUUGGCCGGGAUAGAAAUCGGGAUUCCGACAAAACAUAUACAGACUGGAGAGCCCGUCCUACCACAGACAGCUUUGAUGACUACCCACCUAGAAAAGGUGAUGAUAGCUUUGGAGAUAAGUAUCGAGAUCGUUACAAUUCAGAUCGGUAUCAGGAUGGGUAUCAUGAUGGCUAUUGGGAUGGCCCACGCUGGGACAUGAAUCGAUAUGGGGGCCGGGAUUGAUACUAUGACCGAGGCAGCAGAGACUACGAUAGAGACUAUGAUUUCAGGACAGGCAGUGACAGAAGGGCAUUUGGUAGUGGGUACCGUGGAGACGAUGACUACAGGGGAGGCGGGGACCACUACGAAGACUGUUAUGACAGACGUGAUGAUAGAUCAUGGAGCUCCAGCAAUGAUUACUCUCGAGAUGAUUAUAGGCGUGAUGAUAGAGGUCCCCCCAAAGACCCAAACUGAAUCUAAAGCCUCGGAGUCUUCCUAAGGAAGAUGAUUCCUCUGCUAGCACCUCCCAGUCCAGUCGAGCAGCUUCUAUCUUUGGAGGAGCAAAGCCCAUUGACACAGCUGCUAGAGAAAGAGAAGUAGAAGAGCGACUACAGAAGGAACAAGAAAAAUUGCAACAUCAGCUGGAUGAGCCAAAACUGAAAUGAUGACCUUGGGAGAGACACCCAAGCUGGAGAAGUGAAGAAACUCAGGAACAGGACCAGUCAAGGACAGGAAGUGAGUCAUCGCAGACUGGGACCUCAGCCAUAUCUGGCAGAAAUGUGCAAAGAAGAGAGAAUGAAAGUCUCUAGAAAAUGAAACACUUAAUAAGGAGGAAGACUGUCACUCUCCAACUUCUAAGCCACCCAUACCGGGGGAGGUGAAGUAA
RNA transcript from Nycticebus coucang (slow loris), 1470 nucleotides. It is a transcript of the gene named eukaryotic translation initiation factor 4B-like, with no coding region annotated. The record is from RefSeq and is a predicted model, not a curated record. NCBI's taxonomy places the organism in Eukaryota, Metazoa, Chordata, Mammalia, Primates, Lorisidae. The transcript has a single exon.